CGAUGUGGAGACGGUGACGGAGGAGGAGGUCGUAGUUUCUGUGAAUGGAUCCUCCGAGAGAGUUUUCAACGGGGAGAACUGCACGGUCAGCGAUCCAGAGCUCAACGGCUUGGAAUGCAACUUCGAAUUGAUCACAAGGUAUGGCUUCACAUUUCGGAUAAGCUUUACCGGCGGCAGCUUCGCUGUACGCUCCAGGUACACCUUGGUAAGCGACGCGAAGCUGAGCACCGUGCAUCGGCGCUGGGGAGAGGUCAGUGAUGGUGAGCGGCUUAGGUUGGUUAUCGAUUGGAACUAGAUCGAGAUCCAUCGUCGCCUUAUGGCCGUUCACGGCGGUGAUGUUACCAGCGCCGCCACUCUUCUCAGCGUUCUGCUGCUGCGACACAACUUUACUUGCUAAAAUCGCACAGGAACUCUGCCAGUCGGCUCUAGAACCGCCGACGUGUCCGGCAGAGUUGGUAUUCGCGGUACCGGUGUUGACGGCGGCGUUGGCCGCGUCAAACCGGUAAACGCAUCUGAUAACCGGUCGAAUCGGGUUAACCCGGUUCGACUGUAUCUUCGUCCGGAUUAAGGAUUUGAGAUUUAUCCCCGACGAUGAUGGAGUAAGCGAUUGCAUUUUUCUAGGGUGCAAAUUGCAAUUACUCUAUAAAAUUAGGGGUGUAAUUGAGAAUAAAAUGAAAAUAUAAAAAGAGAGAAAUUUAUUUGAAGCUUGUAGUUCUAAGGGAACAUCCAAGCUGAGAAAUGAAAGAAAUGAACAUGGUAUUUAUAUUGGGGAGUGGGUGGGUGAAGGAGGUUUGGUCAAUCUCACACCUACCACUUUUUUCCUCUUAUUAAUUAUUAAUUUCAUGUUCAAUCGAAAAUAUUUUUCCUACCUUUACAUAAACCUUAAAUAGAUUACAUUUCAUGUUGGAAUAAAAAAAAAAUAUUACUUUCUCGGUAUCAUUUAUGUGACAUUAUUUAACUUGAUAUGUUAUUUUAAAAGAAUUAAUUUUGAACGUUAUAAUCUAAAAUAAUUCUUACAUAUUUAUUUGUCUGUAAAUAAAAGAGGAAAUUAAAAUUAAAUUGUUUCUAAUUAUAGUAAAGUGGUUUUUUGAAACGAACUAUAAAAAAAAAAGAUAAACACAUAUGGGUUUAAGAAAGUAAGAAAUGUCGCAAUACAAACCAAAAUAGACACAAAAAAAAUAAAGGGGAUUUUUUCCGACUAUUUAACACCCCUUAGUAUAAGGUUGUUCCAUCACUAAUUAUUUAUCCUAGUAAUUUUUUUAAAAGAUUAUUUUCAAGUUUCUAAAAUGAUGGGUAUUUUACUUGUUCGGUUUUAAUUUGUCUAUCUUCUUUUGACUUGACAUAAAAUUUAAGAAAAUAAAAGACUUUCGAAUUUUAUGGUCUUAAUUAAAGAUAUGCCAAAUAUAUCAUGUAUUCUUCCCUAAUUACUUGUCCACUUUUGAAAAUGACACACCAAUUAAAAAAACAAUGUUUGACAUAAUGAAUUUAUCAUUUUACUCGUAUUAACUAUGAAGUAGAUGAAUUAAAAAUUUAAGAUUUUCAAGAAUUUCUACUUUUUUCAAAGUAAUUAAUUGAGGGUAUAAUAGGUAAAUUUUUUUGUCUUUUCUUGAUUUGUCAAAAUAAACAAGUAAAAAAAAAUUGAACAAAUAUUAGAAAUAGAGAAAAUAUCUCUUUAAUCAUAUGGUGUUAAAUAUAUCAUAUGAAAAAUUAAAAUUAUAAAAAAAAAUCAAUAUUCGUUUUAAAACUAAUUUUAAAAAGUUAUGAUAACCCAAUUGAACAAAGAAUAAUAUUACUCAUUUAUUAAGUCUAAUAAUAAUACAUAGUUGUUGAAAUGAUGCAUAAAAAUACACACACGUUUCAAUCUAGACAUCCACAUAUAUACAUGUGAAUUUGUAGUGUGGUUUCUUUCAACUUUCAAGGAAGAUAGAGACAAGUAGACAACUAUUGUCACCUUUUUUUACUUUUUAUGUUAUAUUAUAUAUUAAAUUAAAAUUGUAAGAUUUAGUCCAACUAAGGAAAAAUAAUAAUUAAAAGAGGUUCAAAUUUAUUAUGCUCUAAUAGUAGAUAUUCAUGGGCAUAAAAGAAUUUCAUAGAAAUAGCGUCAUUCCCACCAACCACUUUUCAGUCAUAUCUUUCAAAAAUAAUUACAGUUUUUAAAUUUUAAAUUUAAUACGUAAAGUCUUAUGAUAUUACUUUAUUUAUAAAAUUAUAAGACGGUAAAUUUUAAAAGUAAUUAUUUGUAAACUUUACCUAUUGUACUACAACAAACUUAUAUAGUUACAUUAACAUGGAGUUGAAUUGAAGAAGAUUCAACCUCCAAUAAAUUUUUCAAAUCAAACUCCCAAAAAUAUCAUUGUUUUUUAUCCUCUUUGACUUAAUUUAUGUAGCAUUAUUUAAAUUUCGAGAAUCAAAUAAUAUAAUUUGAUCAUGAAUUUGGAUAUAAACUGGUAAUUCAUGAUAUUUAAAAAGUAUAUGAAAAAAUAUGAUUACGAAAAACUUGUUUAAAUUUUGAAAUUCGAAAGGAGACAAAUAGAUUGAGACGAAGGAAGUACUAAUUAGCUUUGGUUUUAUUUUAACCAUUGAAUUCCCCCUUGAGUAAAUAUUUUUUUCGGAUGAUUAACUAUAUAUUCAGACUAAAGAAGUUCUAUGAAAUUAUUUCACAUGAUUUUAUCGAUUAUUUUGAUCGUAGAAUAUUAUUGAGAAAUAGAAAUUUAAGAAAAAAUUUAAAUAAAAUAGUACAAAGUUUGGGAAGAAACAAAAUUUCACAUUUAAUAUGGGAUGAUUAAAUAUUUCUUUAUUCAUUCCUAUCCGAUCAAAAGACAUCACUAUAUUUUGAGAUACUAUCUCUGUCCAUUUUUAAUUGUCAUAAUUUCUUUUUUUAGAGUAAAAUGAUAAUAACAUUGACUAACAUUUUACAAUGUAUUUUUUCAUCACAUUGAUAUGCAAAAAAAUGGAAUAUAUAGUACUUUUGGUAUAGUUUUUAGUAUCCAAUUUUUAAAAUUAAAAUAUUAAAUGAAUGUAAUCUAAUUUAACUUUGAAAAUUAGUCAACUUGAAUUUCGAAAAGCGCAACAUGACAAAUAUAAAUGGACAGAGGGAAUAGUAAAAGUGUAGUUCGUCCUCUUUAUGUGAAGGUUUGAAUCAAAGAUCUUCGCGACACAUCAUAGAAGAGCUAACCAUUUCAAUAAUAUAUCAAAAUUAACUCUCUUGGUUGAAAGGAAUUCCUAUAGCUCAUAGGUAUGAGAUACAAACAAUUUCUAUGAAAGAAUUAAUUCUACAAGGUUAUGGUGAACCCCGGAUGCUGAAGGCAUUUUUGGGUGAUUUCGUAGUUUCUACGGGAUGAACAUGCUUAGAUUGGUUUAUGGAUUUUUUUUCUUUUGCUACAUUUCACGCAAAGGGUUGAAGGCGCUUGCUUAGUAGACGGAAUUUCAUGAGAUGUGACAGAAGUUGUAGAGAUAAAAGUAUGUUUAAAACUAAAUACUCUUGCUAUGAAUAAAUGAUCCUCUUCUGAUAAUUCGUCCAAUUCAAAAUAGCCAUCAUGUCCGGUAGUUUAUUAUAGCGUUAUAAAGUUUACUUAACAUUUUUUUUACUUUUUUAUUUAUUUACUAGAUCUUUGGUACCUAUAAAAAUAUAACUUCUUAUUUCUAUUUUCUUUUUGCAGUAAAAUACCUAAAAGAAAGUGUGGUUGGGAGUGGAAAAUCUUGGAACGUAUAAAUGGUCCAAUAAUAUCGCAUGAUUGAAGAAGGCAAAUACCGCUUAUAAAAGGCUCUUAACAAUAUCGUAUGACUGAAGAAGGCAAAUAUCGCUUGUAAAAGGCUCUUUCAUCGAGCGAGCAAUCUUGACAAAACUUAAGGUAAGUGAUGUAAAGUGUUUUCUUCGAUACAACUAAUGUUCGAGUGAUUCCAUAUAUUGCGAUAGGAUGAUUUUUCUCAAUGUUUAUUGGAAUACUUUUAAAUUUUCAAUGUGUUUAGUGUAAUUGUUAUUUUUUAUAGAAUUUUGUUUCAUUUUCGAAGAACUUUUUUUUAUAUAAGAAAUUGCUCAAGGAAUGGUUUUAAAUGUAAAAAGGACUAUUGUUUUAUUUUGAAAAAAAUAAGUAAAACUACAACAUGCGGUGACUUUUUUCAAAAGAAAUUGUAUGCGUGAAAGUUAAUUAUCUAAGCUUAGCUUAGUGGUGCAUUUAAUCAAAAGAUUAAAUCUUGGAGUUGUCUUUGUUCCUUUUCUCUUCUAAUGAUGAUGAUAAAAUGGUGUUAAUUAAUAAUUUAUCUUAUAGUUAAUAGGAGUAAAAGUUUGCACAACUAUAGGAAAUUUAUUGGAAAAAAAAAGAGAGGAAGACCAUUGUAAUUAUAAUACAUUUGAAGUUAGUGGUUAUUGAUCAACUUCAGUUUAUUGAUAACAUAAUUCUAGAUAAAAAAAUAUAAUAGUCGAAAAUAAGGAUAAAAGUGUAAUAGAUAGCCGAGUCGUAUUGUACUUUAUGUGGGAGAGGGAGCCUCCUCCUCUCCUCUUCUCAGUAUUAAUACAUUCUCUUAUUUUUCAAAAUGCAUAUUACUAUAUGUUGCUUCAUUGCUUUGUCUCUUGCUCUUCUACCGUCUUUCUUUUUUCUUUUGCAAAUCUGCUUAAAAACUUUUCUUUUAAAUCAAGGUUUAGCGAAAACAAUGUCUUUACCUCACAAAAUUUAAAAGGAAAAUCGAUGCAUAUUCUACCUUAUCUAUACCCCACAUGUAAGAAUUGGUUGUGGUGGUUCUUUGACCUUUGUUAUUGCUCCUCUUGAUAAUUUCAAGCACAUCUUUUAGGGUAGGUAAAGGUAUUAGUAGUGUAGUAUUUGAUUACCACCAAUAUCCACUACUUAUAUAUAGGCCUGAAUGUGACAGUCUAACAUUUCUGCUUCACCUAUAUGGUUCCACACUUACAUAUACAAUUUUCUAAAAAAAAAUUCUUUCGUUUUAAUUUGUUUGUCUUAUUUUUAAUUUUUUUUUAUAUUUAAAAAUUGCGUAAAAAAUACUAUAAAUCAUGAUAAUUGACAACUUAAAAUAUUUUUUUUUAAAAAAACAUAUAAAAAAUCGAUUGCUUUAAAAAAAAUUCGAUUGAUUCAUAAAAUUAAUCUUUCUAUGUCACAAAUGGGACAAAAGAGGUAACAUGUAUUAUUUAAUUUAGAAAUUACAUAAAAAGUAUUGUAAAUCUCAAUUAUUAACAACAUAUUGACUCUUGAAAUUCUAUUUGUGCUACAUAUAUUGAGACAAGGGAAGUAACAUAUAUUGUUUAAAAAUAAUGUAAAAAGUACUAUAAAUUACAAUAAUUAACAACUUGAAGUAUUUUAAAAUCAUAUUUAAAAUUUAAUUGACUCUCUAAAUUUUAUCUUAUCACAUAAAGUGAGAUAAAAAAAAAUAACAGAUAUUGGGCCCGUACUAGCACGGCCACUUGUGUUUAGUAAAUUAUAAUGGGAUAGUUUGGGAGUCGGAAUCCUUCACCUUCAAUAAAAGACCUCAAAAUCGAGUUUAUGGAAAUGAAAAAAAAAAUCAAAUAGUAACGCAAUACAUCUUUAUCAUAACAAAAAUAAAUCAUGAUAAGGAAAUAUCUUACUAUACAUUAAUGAUUAAUUCAACAGUGUAUUGCGAAGUUACUAUGGUUAUAAAAAGAUAAGUUCAUUUUUGAGACGUACUUUGAUACAAUGUUUUUUAUCAAAGAUAAUUUUAUUUUCUGGGCUCGAAUUGAAACAUUUAACUCGAGAUUUUAUAUUUAAAAAAUUGUUUAUAUCACUCUUUUCUUGAUAUUCUACGUAUGAUAUUUCUACAUGUCAAUUUUAAGUUGAUAUCUUCUUCAAAUAUUGACGAUAAAUGUCAGUAUUGAGAAAUGAGAAAUAGAUAUGUCUUUGUAUAGGUGUCUUUAAUUAGAGCCAUAAAUUUAUAAUUUAGAAAAAACAUGGAAUAAAAGGAAUAAAUAAAUAUCAAUAUAAAUAUCUCAACGUUGUAUAAGAUGAUUUGUAUAUGCAGAGUCAGAUUUUAAAAUUAAAAUUUUAUGUGUUUAAUUCUUAAAGUUUCGAAGGAUUAAAUUUAUUAUAUUAUUGUUCAUUUUUAUUAUUUGUUGUAACUUUAAUAAAUUCUUACUAACAAAUUUAUGUUUUGCAUUGAAAAUAUUGAGUUUGAGUGAAUCCCAUGAAGUUGGAUCCACUCUGCGUGUAUAAUUGGUUCAUCUGAACAUAGUAUUUUUAACGUAGAAUCUCAAGUAUUGAAGACAUAAAUUUAAGAAUAUAAAGAAUUCAACUCUACAAAUCAUAAUAAUUGAAUUUAUAAAAUUUAAAUUCAGAAUUUGUUCGUGUAUAUGUUGGUGACUUGAUGUAGAUAUUAACUUUAGAAUGAGUUUGACUUUUAUGGAAGUUUCUGAAAUUGUGCUAUCACUCAUUUUCAAUUUUAUUGGUUAACUUCUCCAAUUAUUAUUAUGUUACUUUUAAGAUUCAAUAUAUUAGAUUUUAAAGUAAACAUAAUAAAUAAAACAACAUGAUGCAUUAAGUUUUCGUUAUACACACAAUUUAAAAAAAGACCGAUUAUAAGAUUCUAUUAUAAGGAUGCGAUAAAUAAAUCUAUGUGAUUCAAUUUUUUCUUGCACAACAUAUAAUAGAAACUUAGUGCACAUUUUCUAUUUUUAUUUUUAACCUAAAAGUAGAUAAAUUGGAUUUUGGUAGUGCAUUAGAACUAAAUUCAUUGAAUGUAGACAGGGUAUGAUACUAUAGAUUAAAUUCUAUUAAUCUAGAAAAUUACGUAUUCAAUAUGCGUUCUAUACAACAUAAUACAAUUCAGUUUGAACGUAUGUCACAUCAAUUGACAUGUAGAACGCAUGUAUCUACUUAACUUUAUACAAGUUUAAAUAUCUAAUUGUACACACUCAAAGUCAUUAAGCAAAAAUAUCAACUAAAACCAAGUUAAAGGAUACGCUUAUGAUCAAAUUAAUACCUUCUUUUCUCUUUGUAGGACUUACCGACAAACCUCUCCACACUA
RNAcentral lists this long non-coding RNA (6987 nucleotides) under Solanum tuberosum (potato). RNAcentral describes it as "long non-coding RNA (STUB_LNC010955)". The record is from RNAcentral. Lineage: Eukaryota; Viridiplantae; Streptophyta; Magnoliopsida; Solanales; Solanaceae.